AGUGAACGCUGGCGGUAGGCCUAACACAUGCAAGUCGAACGGCAGCACAGUAAGAGCUUGCUCUUACGGGUGGCGAGUGUCGGACGGGUGAGGAAUACAUCGGAAUCUACUUUUUCGUGGGGGAUAACGUAGGGAAACUUACGCUAAUACCGCAUACGACCUACGGGUGAAAGCAGGGGAUCUUCGGACCUUGCGCGAUUUAAUGAGCCGAUGUCGGAUUAGCUAGUUGGCGGGGUAAAGGCCCACCAAGGCGACGAUCCGUAGCUGGUAUGAGAGGAUGUUAAGCAACGAUGGAACUAAGAAACGGUGCAGACUCCUACGGGAAGCAGCAGUGGGGAAUAUUGGAGAAUGGGAAGAAGCGUGAUACAGACAAACCGCAUGGGUGAAAAAGGAGUUAGUGUUGUAAAGCCCUUUUGAUGGGGAAGAAAAGCAGCAGGUUAAUACCCGGCUGUUAUGACGGUACCGAAAAGAUAAGAACAGGCUAACUUCGUG
RNAcentral lists this ribosomal RNA (492 nucleotides) under uncultured bacterium. RNAcentral describes it as "partial 16S ribosomal RNA". It matches the Rfam family "Bacterial small subunit ribosomal RNA", at positions 29 to 507 of the family's 1533-position model. The record is from RNAcentral.